Molecule: long non-coding RNA, 545 nt
Organism: Sapajus apella (tufted capuchin)
Lineage: Eukaryota; Metazoa; Chordata; Mammalia; Primates; Cebidae
Exons: 2
Source: RefSeq, a predicted model, not a curated record
CUGCGCACCGCGGAGGGCUGCGGUGGGGGCGCCAGGCCGUCUUGCUCCGCCCCUCGCCCCGCCCGCGGCCCUGCGGUCUGGAGGACCCCGAGCGCCCGGCCCAACCCUCGGAGGGAGGAGGGUCCAGGUGCCGCAGACUCUGAGCCCCUGGCCCGGCGUCCGCCCGGCAGGACCCGGCACUCCUGGCUGGGCAAAUAAAUUACUGUUCAGUGAAUGAGACCGACGAAGGCUUUGUGGAAGAGAGAGAAUUUAAAAAGGGACGGAGGAUGGGUAAUGGGUAAGAUUUCGGCAUGCAGAAUUCCUGUGCAGGAGGAGAAAUCCAGCAUUCUGGGGAUGGCAGACAACUGCAGGCAAAGGGACAGAUAGCACAGGCCCCAGUGUAAGGAACAAUGAGUAAUUUCCAUAUGAAAAUCAUGGAAAAAGGCAGAGGAGGAAAUGGCCAGGUGCUGUUAAGGAUGGGAGAACAUUUUCAGGGUCACUGACUAAAUAAAGAUAGCACACAGGAAUAAAAAUAGGCAUAUCAUAUAAAAGAAUUUAUGACAAAA